GGCCGGAGAACCGGUGCAUUGGUGCGCGCCCGGGAUCCGAACCCGGGCCGCCAGCAGUGGAGUGCACGCACUUAACCACUAAGCCAUGGGGCCAGCCCCGAAAUGUUCCUUUUUGAGUGUCUGCAGAAAGCCACGGCCUUUCUGAUAUUUCCAGAGGUGAGGUUUAACCACGUCAUUGUAACAGAGAAUGAGGGAGACUGCAGAGCACUAGAGAGGUGUAGCUUGAGGCGGGUGGGAAACUCAGUAGUGUUUAGGGAUGGGUGUCAGGGAUUAAAGGGGACCUUUGAGAUGGUGCCUUAGUGGUAGGAUCUGCCUGGACAAAUGUGAUCACGCUGUGCAGAACAAGUUUAGAUUGAGACGUAGAUUAUUAGCCUGAAAGAAACUGGGUGAACUCUUGGGGUCUUGACCCAACGUUGCCUGUGAAGCCCUGGACAGGUGACCAUCCUGGUGCCAUUUCCCCGUUGACAGGAUGAGAGACUGAAUUAAAACUUACAAUAAUGAGUUCACAAAUUUGUGAGUUCUGGUGGUCUGUGUCCUUUUGUGGCUGGUCCCCUCUGCCCUCCGCUCCAUCAGGUCAGCUUGAGACAGCCAGGCACAAGGACUGUGGAUGAAUGAGUCCGUGGAAAAACCAUGAGGUCCCCUGUCCCCACAAGGGUGGCUUUGGAGGGCGGUGCUCUGAGAUGCUGGGGUGGCGUGCAGGGUUGUAGGGACCUCAGAAGGCAUCUCUGCAGGGGGAGAACGGCUGGAGAUCAGACAGGAGCAUGCUCUGGUCCUGUUACGCCUCCCAGCGUGAGAUUCGGCUUUGGACUUAGUUUGGAUUUAGUGCCCAGUGCAGGGACGCAGGAAUGUGGUGCUGCAGACCACAGAGACGGCCCUUGUGGACACACGGCGUCAGUGACUCCUUGGACGCGAGCGUGCAGAUGAGGUGCCUCCUGGCCCUGGAGGCUCCCCGAGAAGAGGGGGUCCGCUCUGAAGUUGGGUCUUAUCUUCUAUAAAUUUGAGAAACGAGUUUUGUCGGGGCCCCGGGACAGGCAGCCGGAAGCCGCGUCCGAGCGCGUGCCUCCCGAGCCUCGUGUCUGAGUGAGUGACCUCGCUCCCAGGAACGUGCCUCAGGCUCCCGG
This is a long non-coding RNA of Diceros bicornis minor, 1121 nucleotides long. RefSeq lists it as uncharacterized. The record is from RefSeq and is a predicted model, not a curated record. NCBI's taxonomy places the organism in Eukaryota, Metazoa, Chordata, Mammalia, Perissodactyla, Rhinocerotidae. The transcript is spliced from 4 exons.